Molecule: ribosomal RNA, 440 nt
Filed under: uncultured bacterium
Lineage: Bacteria
Description: partial 16S ribosomal RNA
Rfam family: Bacterial small subunit ribosomal RNA
Source: RNAcentral
CCUACGGGUGGCAGCAGUGGGGAAUAUUGCUCAAUGGGGGCAACCCUGACGCAGCCACGCCGCGUGUAUGAUGAAGGUCUUCGGAUUGUAAAGUUCUUUUGGUCGAGAAGAUAAUGACGGUAUCUAACAAAGAAGCACCGGCAAACUCCGGGCCAGCAGCCGCGGUAAUACGGAGGGUGAGAGCGUUACUCGGAAUUACUGGGCGAAAAGUGCGCGUAGGCGGGUUUGCAAGUCAGAUGUGAAACUCCGGGGCUCAACCAUGGAACUGCCUGUGAGACUCGUAUGCUAGAGUAUGGGAGAGGUAGGUGGAAUGCUCGGUGUAGGGGUGAAAUGCGUAGAGAUCGGGAGGAAUACCGGUGGCGAAGGCGGCCAUCUGGACAAUAACUGACGCUGAGGCGCGAAAGCGUGGGGAGCAAACAGGAUUAGAUACCCGUGUAGUC